RNAcentral lists this ribosomal RNA (761 nucleotides) under Vibrio harveyi. RNAcentral describes it as "bacterial SSU rRNA". It matches the Rfam family "Bacterial small subunit ribosomal RNA", at positions 49 to 791 of the family's 1533-position model. The record is from RNAcentral. Lineage: Bacteria; Pseudomonadati; Pseudomonadota; Gammaproteobacteria; Vibrionales; Vibrionaceae.
CUACCAUGCAGUCGAGCGGAAACGAGUUAUCUGAACCUUCGGGGAACGAUAACGGCGUCGAGCGGCGGACGGGUGAGUAAUGCCUAGGAAAUUGCCCUGAUGUGGGGGAUAACCAUUGGAAACGAUGGCUAAUACCGCAUAAUACCUACGGGUCAAAGAGGGGGACCUUCGGGCCUCUCGCGUCAGGAUAUGCCUAGGUGGGAUUAGCUAGUUGGUGAGGUAAUGGCUCACCAAGGCGACGAUCCCUAGCUGGUCUGAGAGGAUGAUCAGCCACACUGGAACUGAGACACGGUCCAGACUCCUACGGGAGGCAGCAGUGGGGAAUAUUGCACAAUGGGCGCAAGCCUGAUGCAGCCAUGCCGCGUGUGUGAAGAAGGCCUUCGGGUUGUAAAGCACUUUCAGUCGUGAGGAAGGUAGUGUAGUUAAUAGCUGCAUUAUUUGACGUUAGCGACAGAAGAAGCACCGGCUAACUCCGUGCCAGCAGCCGCGGUAAUACGGAGGGUGCGAGCGUUAAUCGGAAUUACUGGGCGUAAAGCGCAUGCAGGUGGUUUGUUAAGUCAGAUGUGAAAGCCCGGGGCUCAACCUCGGAAUAGCAUUUGAAACUGGCAGACUAGAGUACUGUAGAGGGGGGUAGAAUUUCAGGUGUAGCGGUGAAAUGCGUAGAGAUCUGAAGGAAUACCGGUGGCGAAGGCGGCCCCCUGGACAGAUACUGACACUCAGAUGCGAAAGCGUGGGGAGCAAACAGGAUUAGAUACCUGGGU